CUGCAACUCGACUACAUGAAGCUGGAAUCGCUAGUAAUCGUAGAUCAGCAUGCUACGGUGAAUACGUUCCCGGGUCUUGUACACACCGCCCGUCACACCACGAGAGUUUGUAACACCCGAAGCCGGUGGAGUAACCUUUUAGGAGCUAGCCGUCGAAGGUGGGACAAAUGAUUGGGGUGAAGUCGUAACAAGGUAGCCGUAUCGGAAGGUGCGGCUGGAUCACCUCCUUUCUAAGGA
Molecule: ribosomal RNA, 237 nt
Filed under: Staphylococcus aureus
Lineage: Bacteria; Bacillati; Bacillota; Bacilli; Caryophanales; Staphylococcaceae
Description: partial 16S ribosomal RNA
Rfam family: Bacterial small subunit ribosomal RNA
Source: RNAcentral